UGGGGAAUAUUGCACAAUGGGCGCAAGCCUGAUGCAGCCAUGCCGCGUGUAUGAAGAAGGCCUUCGGGUUGUAAAGUACUUUCAGCGGGGAGGAAGGGAGUAAAGUUAAUACCUUUGCUCAUUGACGUUACCCGCAGAAGAAGCACCGGCUAACUCCGUGCCAGCAGCCGCGGUAAUACGGAGGGUGCAAGCGUUAAUCGGAAUUACUGGGCGUAAAGCGCACGCAGGCGGUUUGUUAAGUCAGAUGUGAAAUCCUCGGGCUCACCCUGGGAACUGCACCUGAUACUGGCAAGCUUGAGUCUCGUAGAGGGGGGUAGAAUUCCAGGUGUAGCGGUGAAAUGCGUAGAGAUCUGGAGGAAUACCGGUGGCGAAGGCGGCCCCCUGGACGAAGACUGACGCUCAGGUGCGAAAGCGUGGGGAGCAAACAGG
RNAcentral lists this ribosomal RNA (429 nucleotides) under Chloroflexota bacterium. Its description in RNAcentral is "Chloroflexi bacterium partial 16S ribosomal RNA". It matches the Rfam family "Bacterial small subunit ribosomal RNA", at positions 355 to 776 of the family's 1533-position model. The record is from RNAcentral. Lineage: Bacteria; Bacillati; Chloroflexota.